RNAcentral lists this ribosomal RNA (871 nucleotides) under uncultured Streptococcus sp. RNAcentral describes it as "bacterial SSU rRNA". It matches the Rfam family "Bacterial small subunit ribosomal RNA", at positions 39 to 895 of the family's 1533-position model. Lineage: Bacteria; Bacillati; Bacillota; Bacilli; Lactobacillales; Streptococcaceae. The record is from RNAcentral.
GCGGCGUGCUAAUACAUGCAAGUAGAACGCUGAAGGAGGACUUGCUCUUCUGGAAGAGUUGCGAACGGGUGAGUAACGCGUAGGUAACCUGCCUGGUAGCGGGGGAUAACUAUUGGAAACGAUAGCUAAUACCGCAUAAGAUUGAAUAUCGCAUGAUAAUUGAUUAAAAGAUGCAAAUGCAUCACUACCAGAUGGACCCGCGUUGUAUUAGCUAGUAGGUGAGGUAACGGCUCACCUAGGCGACGAUACAUAGCCGACCUGAGAGGGUGAUCGGCCACACUGGGACUGAGACACGGCCCAGACUCCUACGGGAGGCAGCAGUAGGGAAUCUUCGGCAAUGGGGGCAACCCUGACCGAGCAACGCCGCGUGAGUGAAGAAGGUUUUCGGAUCGUAAAGCUCUGUUGUAAGAGAAGAACGAGUGUGAGAGUGGAAAGUUCACACUGUGACGGUAUCUUACCAGAAAGGGACGGCUAACUACGUGCCAGCAGCCGCGGUAAUACGUAGGUCCCGAGCGUUGUCCGGAUUUAUUGGGCGUAAAGCGAGCGCAGGCGGUUAGAUAAGUCUGAAGUUAAAGGCUGUGGCUUAACCAUAGUACGCUUUGGAAACUGUUUAACUUGAGUGCAGAGGGGGAGAGUGGAAUUCCAUGUGUAGCGGUGAAAUGCGUAGAUAUAUGGAGGAACACCGGUGGCGAAAGCGGCUCUCUGGUCUGUAACUGACGCUGAGGCUCGAAAGCGUGGGGAGCGAACAGGAUUAGAUACCCUGGUAGUCCACGCCGUAAACGAUGAGUGCUAGGUGUUAGGCCCUUUCNCGGGGCUUAGUGCCGUAGCUAACGCAUUAAGCACUCCGCCUGGGAGUACGACCGCCAAGGUU